Molecule: long non-coding RNA, 733 nt
Organism: Chenopodium quinoa (quinoa)
Lineage: Eukaryota; Viridiplantae; Streptophyta; Magnoliopsida; Caryophyllales; Amaranthaceae
Exons: 2
Source: RefSeq, a predicted model, not a curated record
AACGUCUUACAAAGAGACUUGACCACUGGUAGAACUAAAUGGAAAGACCCAAAUGAGAAGUGGUUAUUAAAAUCCGGUUCGAAAUCCCUAUAACAACCUGCUUAAAAAAAACAUCAGACAUUAAAUGGGAAGCGGUUUGGGGUUGAACCGCUCCAAAAAAUGUAAUUGAAAGCAGUUCAAACAGUAAACCGCUUUGCAUUUGCUAAAAAAACCCAAGCAAUUCUCACACGUCCAUGUUUGUCACGCCUCCUUAUCCUUCUCUCUCCUCCUUCACCUCAUUUCCCACGCCCUCCUUCUCUCCUCCCUCCCCUCAUUUCAUACGCCCUCUUCUCUCUCCUCUCUCCAUUCUCACACCCUCCUUCUCUCUCCAUCUGAUCUCCUUCCCUCUCUCCUCUUCUCUCCUCUCCUCUCCUCUCCUCUCCGUCUAAUAUCCUUAUCACCGACUAUAGCUACACCGAGAGCGGCAACACCCACAACAACACAGCGAGCACCCCCACCGAGCACCACCGAGCAACACCAACAACACCACCGAGCACCCACCAACGUUUUUAGAUCGAAUUUUAAUUAAGGUGGUUUAAUCGGUGGUGCUCGUGGGUGGUGACUGCUAGAGAACGAGAGCAGCAACAAGUCUAACUGAUUUUUUUUAAAAACAGUGUAGUUAAUUUUAUUAUUAAUUUUUUUAAUACUGUUUUUUUGAUGAAAAUAUAAUAUUACAACAAUUAACUAAUGAAAA